Molecule: ribosomal RNA, 429 nt
Filed under: Fusobacteriota bacterium
Lineage: Bacteria; Fusobacteriati; Fusobacteriota
Description: Fusobacteria bacterium partial 16S ribosomal RNA
Rfam family: Bacterial small subunit ribosomal RNA
Source: RNAcentral
UGGGGAAUCUUCCGCAAUGGACGAAAGUCUUACGGAGCAACGCCGCGUGAGUGAAGACGGCCUUCGGGUUUUAAAGCUCUGUGAUCCGGGACGAAAGAGCCUGAGGUGAAUAGCCUAAGGAAGUGACGGUACCGGAGAAGCAAGCCACGUCUAACUACGUGCCAGCAGCCGCGGUAAUACGUAGGUGGCAAGCGUUGUCCGGAAUUAUUGGGCGUAAAGCGCGCGCAGGCGGCUUCCUAAGUCCAUCUUAAAAGUGCGGGGCUUAACCCCGGGAUGGGAUGGAAACUGGGAAGCUGGAGUAUCGGAGAGGAAAGUGGAAUUCCUAGUGUAGAGGUGAAAUGCGUAGAGAUUAGGAAGAACACCGGUGGCGAAGGCGACUGUCUGGACGAAAACUGACGCUGAGGCGCGAAAGCGUGGGGAGCAAACAGG